RNAcentral lists this long non-coding RNA (223 nucleotides) under Elaeis guineensis (African oil palm). RNAcentral describes it as "long non-coding RNA (EGUI_LNC041867)". The record is from RNAcentral. Lineage: Eukaryota; Viridiplantae; Streptophyta; Magnoliopsida; Arecales; Arecaceae.
UCAUCUCAUACACAACUGAUCCCUUCUUAAGGAUGGCAUCCCAUGGAAGAUAAGGAUAAGGAAAAGAUAGUUUCAGUUCAAUUUCAAAUGUUGGUUGAUCCUUAUCACCAAUUCAAAUUAAAUUUGAAUUAAAUUUUGAAUUAAACUUUAUUCUCAUCUUAUAAACUUAUUGAUAUAAAAAAUCUCAUGCAAAAAUACUUUAUGCGUGGAGAAAGGUGAUGAC